UCCAUUCCAAUCCGUCCCCCUCUCUCCCACUUCCUUGUCUUCCUCUCCUUCUCCAGUUUUCCCUCUCCUUUCUCUCCUCAAUUCUGUUGCACCUGAAAUUUCAAUUUACUGCAACGAGGGAAAAAAGCACCGAAGUCGAAACCAAGAUAAGUUGAAACCCCGGCAAUCUGAUCGGACGGUUGAGCAGCGGAGAAUGAGCACGAAGAAGAAGACGGCGCAGGGUCAGACGAGGACACGUGUCGGGAAGUACGAGCUGGGAAGAACCUUGGGUGAGGGUAGUUUUGCGAAGGUUAAGUUCGCCAAGAAUGUUGAGACCGGAGAGUGCGUGGCUAUUAAAAUCCUGGACCGUGACCAAGUUCUCCGUCACCGAAUGGUCGAACAGAUAAAAAGAGAAAUAUCAACAAUGAAGCUUAUCAAGCAUCCCAAUGUCAUUAAAAUAUUUGAGGUUAUGGCAAGCAAGACAAAGAUUUAUAUCGUGAUCGAGUUUGUUGAUGGAGGCGAGCUUUUCGACAAAAUUGCCAAGCGUGGGAGACUAAAAGAGGAUGAAGCUAGAAGCUAUUUUCAUCAGCUUAUUAAUGCUGUUGAUUACUGCCACAGUAGAGCCGUCUACCAUAGAGAUUUGAAGCCUGAGAAUCUUCUUCUGGACUCGUUUGGUGUUCUUAAGAUUUCAGAUUUUGGAUUGAGUGCUUUCUCGCAGCAAGUUCGGGAAGAUGGGUUGCUUCACACGGCCUGUGGGACUCCAAAUUAUGUUGCUCCAGAGGUGCUCAAAGAUAAAGGUUAUGAUGGUACAUCAUCUGAUAUUUGGUCUUGUGGAGUUAUUCUCUUCGUACUUAUGGCUGGCUAUUUGCCUUUUGAUGAGCCAAAUCUUGCAGCCUUGUAUAAAAAAAUCUGGAUGGCUGAUUUCACCUGUCCAUCAUGGUUUUCAUCUGGUGCAAGGAAAUUGAUUAAGCGUAUUCUUGAUCCAAACCCUCUUACACGUAUAAGUAUUCCUGAAAUUCUACAAGAUGAAUGGUUCAAGAAAGGGUACAAGCCACCACAAUUUGAGCAGGAAGAGGAUGUAAAUCUUGAUGACAUAGAUGCGGUUUUUAAUGACUCAAAUGAGCACCUUGUAACAGAAAGGAAAGAGAAACCCGUAUCAAUGAAUGCUUUUGAGCUUAUCUCUAGGUCACAAAGCUUCAGUCUCGACAAUUUGUUUGAGAAGCAGACGGGUCAUGUUAAGCGAGAAACCAGUUUUGCUUCCCAAUGUCCUCCAAAUGAAAUUAUCUCCAAAAUUGAGGAAGCUGCUAAGCCUCUGGGCUUUAAUGUUCACAAGAGAAACUACAAGAUGAAGUUGAAAGGUGACAAAAGUGGGAGAAAGGGCCAGCUUUCUGUUGCUACCGAGGUGUUUGAGGUGGCUCCCUCCUUGCACAUGGUGGAGCUCCGGAAAACUGGUGGUGACACCUUGGAGUUUCACAAGGUAUCGUUUUGGCUAUGAUCUGAGCCAAAUAUCCACUUGAAUUUUGUCCAUUCUACAAAACUUUUGCAUCUGGAUUGAAAGAUAUAGUCUGGACAUCUGAAGAAAUUGCUGAAGGGCAAAGGCCAUAGCAAAAACUACAUCUUGUUUGGUUCAUGCUUGCUUUAGCCUAGUGCACAUAUUUUUCUUAGAGUGUCAGUGUAUACUGUUGGUUGCGCCUUUGGGGAAGGGAAUUAAGUGCCUCAAAACGUGAGGCAUGGUUCAUUGCCAACUUUCUUAUAUAAAGUGGAAGAUUUUUAUUUCCUUAAGAAGUAACCAAACCCAUUGAAAUUUUGCCAGUAGGUUAUUGUUCGUCAGAUGGAGAAAUGCUCUUUUUUAUGCUAUAUUUCGAGCAAUUAUUGUUUUUAUUAAAUUAAUUUUAAGUACUGACUAUUGAUCCUCGGAUAAAUUUGUGA
Molecule: RNA transcript, 1908 nt
Organism: Theobroma cacao (cacao)
Lineage: Eukaryota; Viridiplantae; Streptophyta; Magnoliopsida; Malvales; Malvaceae
Gene: CIPK9
Gene name: CBL-interacting protein kinase 9
Source: RefSeq, a predicted model, not a curated record